UUGGAGGGCAAGUCUGGUGCCAGCAGCCGCGGUAAUUCCAGCUCCAAUAGCGUAUAUUAAAGUUGUUGCAGUUAAAAAGCUCGUAGUUGAAUUUCGAGAUCAAAUUGUUGGUCGUGCCUUGGUACGCACUGGCAUUAUUGGUUUCUCCCUUCUGACGAACCAUGAUGUCAUUAAUUUGGUGUCUUGGGGAAUCAGGACUGUUACUUUGAAAAAAUUAGAGUGUUUAAAGCAGGCUCACGCUUGAAUACAUUAGCAUGGAAUAAUGAAAUAGGACGUUUGAUUCUAUUUUGUUGGUUUCUAGGAUCGACGUAAUGAUUAAUAGGGAUAGUUGGGGGCAUUAGUAUUCAGUUGUCAGAGGUGAAAUUCUUGGAUUUAUUGAAGACUAACUACUGCGAAAGCAUUUGCCAAGGAUGUUUUCAUUAACCAAGAACGAAAGUUAGGGGAUCGAAGACGAUCAGAUACCGUCGUAGUCUUAACCAUAAACUAUGCCGACUAGGGAUCGGAUGAUGUUAAUUUUUUAAUGACUCAUUCGGCGCCUUACGGGAAACCAAAGUGUUUGGGUUC
RNAcentral lists this ribosomal RNA (564 nucleotides) under uncultured Glomeromycotina. RNAcentral's name for it is "SSU rRNA". It matches the Rfam family "Eukaryotic small subunit ribosomal RNA", at positions 548 to 1114 of the family's 1831-position model. The record is from RNAcentral. Lineage: Eukaryota; Fungi; Glomeromycota.